CCGCGACCGAACCGCGACCGAACCGCGACCGGCCGCGGGGCUCGAGCCGAGGCUUCCACCGCGAGGCGCGGGCGGCGCCGCGGGGCUCGCGUCCCGCUCCCGGAGCCCCGGGUAUCAAUCACCCCGCCGCUAAAUGCGUCCUCCGGCCCGCAGAAUAAACCUUUUUUUGUGAGCCCAACCCAAUUCAGGGGUCCUAAAGUAACAAAUUGCCUGGGAAUAUGUUAACACGUGUAGCAACUUGAGCCAGCUCCUUAAUACUGCGCUGGUGUUUAGGAGUUUUAUUCCCGAAUUUCGGUGGCAAAAGGGGUUUUUAAUGCUUUUCCUGUUGCUUCCCAGCUGCUCGCUCCAAGCUGGCUCCAGCGUUUUGCUCAGGAGCGCAAAGGAUGUUUGAAGGAAAGCGGGGAGGAAAACGGGCAGAUUAAAGCGCUUUGGGCAGCUUCGCCAGCCGGAGAUCCCGCAGGGAAUGUUUCAGGCCUCAAGGAAGGAAGCUGAGCCUGGAUGCAGAGCCCAGCAGAGGGCACGGCAGCCCCACGCAGGACCUGCAGAGCCGCCCGUCAAUCCCUUCUUCAUCCUGCCGGGACAGAAGGAGAAGGAUUUUCGGGCUGCCAAAUGAUUUGUAACGCCUGUGGUUGGAUUUUCGUGAGCUGGGGACUGUGUCCGUGGGGUGGGAGCGAUCGCUGCACAUCCAAGUCCCCGUAAGCUGUGCAGCUGGAAGAGUUGAUCCCAAACACAGGAUAACUAAUGUGGAAUUACGUGAGCUGGUUCUCUCUUCCACAGUGUUGAUAUGCAGACUAUCACGAUCUCUGAAACAUCAAUAACAAAAUACGUGAAUAAAUUAAACUUUAAUUAAAAUAAUGCCA
Molecule: non-coding RNA, 860 nt
Organism: Taeniopygia guttata (zebra finch)
Lineage: Eukaryota; Metazoa; Chordata; Aves; Passeriformes; Estrildidae
Source: RefSeq, a predicted model, not a curated record